RNAcentral lists this ribosomal RNA (301 nucleotides) under uncultured bacterium. Its description in RNAcentral is "partial 16S ribosomal RNA". It matches the Rfam family "Bacterial small subunit ribosomal RNA", at positions 509 to 809 of the family's 1533-position model. The record is from RNAcentral.
CAGCCGCCACGGGAAUACAGAGGGUGCGAGCGUUAAUCGGAUUUACUGGGCGUAAAGCGUGCGUAGGCGGCUUCUUAAGUCGGAUGUGAAAUCCCUGAGCUUAACUUAGGAAUUGCAUUCGAUACUGGGAAGCUAGAGUAUGGGAGAGGAUGGUAGAAUUCCAGGUGUAGCGGUGAAAUGCGUAGAGAUCUGGAGGAAUACCGAUGGCGAAGGCUGCCAUCUGGCCUAAUACUGACGCUGAGGUACGAAAGCAUGGGGAGCAAACAGGAUUAGAUACCCCUGUAGUCCCUGUCUCUUAUAU